Molecule: ribosomal RNA, 200 nt
Filed under: uncultured organism
Description: partial small subunit ribosomal RNA
Rfam family: Bacterial small subunit ribosomal RNA
Source: RNAcentral
GUCAAGUCAUCAUGGCCCUUAUGUCCAGGGCUACACACGUGCUACAAUGGCAGGGACAAAGCGAGCCGAAACCGUGAGGUGGAGGAAAUCGCAAAAACCCUGCCCCAGUUCAGAUCGAAGGCUGCAACUCGCCUUCGUGAAGUUGGAAUCGCUAGUAAUCGCGGAUCAGCUACGCCGCGGUGAAUGUGUUCCUGAGCCUU